Molecule: ribosomal RNA, 233 nt
Filed under: uncultured bacterium
Lineage: Bacteria
Description: partial 16S ribosomal RNA
Rfam family: Bacterial small subunit ribosomal RNA
Source: RNAcentral
CGUGGGUAACCUGCCCUUUGGUGGGGAAUAACUCUGGGAAACUGGGGCUAAUGCCGCAUCAGCUCUUUGUCCCUGCGGGGACUUAGAGGAAAGCAUGCCUCUGCUUCAAGCAUGCGCCAGAGGAGGGGCCCGCGUCCCAUUAGCUUGUUGGUGGGGUAAUGGCCUACCAAGGCGACGAUGGGUAGCCGGCCUGAGAGGGUGUCCGGCCACACUGGGACUGAGACACGGCCCAG